RNAcentral lists this ribosomal RNA (484 nucleotides) under uncultured bacterium. RNAcentral describes it as "partial 16S ribosomal RNA". It matches the Rfam family "Bacterial small subunit ribosomal RNA", at positions 30 to 507 of the family's 1533-position model. The record is from RNAcentral.
AUUGAACGCUGGCGGCAGGCCUAACACAUGCAAGUCGAGCGGAUGAAGGGAGCUUGCUCCUGGAUUCAGCGGCGGACGGGUGAGUAAUGCCUAGGAAUCUGCCUGGUAGUGGGGGAUAACGUCCGGAAACGGGCGCUAAUACCGCAUACGUCCUGAGGGAGAAAGUGGGGGAUCUUCGGACCUCACGCUAUCAGAUGAGCCUAGGUCGGAUUAGCUAGUUGGUGGGGUUAAGGCCUACCAAGGCGACGAUCCGUAACUGGUCUGAGAGGAUGAUCAGUCACACUGGAACUGAGACACGGUCCAGACUCCUACGGGAGGCAGCAGUGGGGAAUAUUGGACAAUGGGCGAAAGCCUGAUCCAGCCAUGCCGCGUGUGUGAAGAAGGCCUUCGGAUUGUAAAGCACUUUAAGUUGGGAGGAAGGGCAGUAAGUUAAUACCUUGCUGUUUUGACGUUACCAACAGAAUAAGCACCAGCUAACUUCGUG